CCUACGGUGGGCUGCAGUAGGGAAUAUUGCUCAAUGGGGGAAACCCUGAAGCAGCAACGCCGCGUGGAGGAUGAAGGUUUUCGGAUUGUAAACUCCUUUUGUUAGAGAAGAUAAUGACGGUAUCUAACGAAUAAGCACCGUCUAACUCCGUGCCAGCAGCCGCGGUAAUACGGAGGGUGCAAGCGUUACUCGGAAUCACUGGGCGUAAAGCGCGCGUAGGCGGGUUAGCAAGUCAGAUGUGAAAUUCUAUGGCUUAACCAUAGAACUGCAUUUGAAACUGUUAGUCUAGAGUAUGGGAGAGGUAGGUGGAAUUCUUGGUGUAGGGGUAAAAGGCGUAGAGAUCAAGAAGAAUACUCAUUGCGAAGGCGACCUGCUAGAACAUAACUGACGCUGAUGCGCGAAAGCGUGGGGAGCAAACAGGAUUAGAUACCCUAGUAGUC
Molecule: ribosomal RNA, 440 nt
Filed under: uncultured bacterium
Lineage: Bacteria
Description: partial 16S ribosomal RNA
Rfam family: Bacterial small subunit ribosomal RNA
Source: RNAcentral